GGCAUCCUGCUUUCUUCUGAGGGGUAAAUGCAUUUAUUUCUUUAACUUGAUAUUCACAAUGAGUGCAUUUCUGUCUUUUUAUGUGUAUAUUAAAAAAGUACGUUCAUCAUAUAAUUUUUUAAGUUUUAAUCUUCUAUUUAAGAGAAUUGAAGAAAGAAAUACUCUUACUAGUCUUCUCAUUAUAUAAUGUAAUAGUUGGAUACUAUUUCAUGCUGGUCUUUUUUUUAAUCUCUCCCCUCCCCCUUGCGUCCAUGUGCGUGGGCAUUUUGUAUACUUACUGAGAUCAGAGCAUAUUUCUUGUAUUAUUAAUUCUUUUUUCCUUUCAUGUGCUAACUAUGUUAUUAAUUCUUAAUAUAGAAAACAUUGUUUCAGAGAUUUGAGGCAUUUGAAAUGAAAAUGGUGCGGACGCAAUGUAUAGGGAAAAUUGAAGCUGAUGCUCAGUUUCAAAAUGGAUAAGCUCAUGAAGGGGCACAAAAUAGUUAACAAUAAUAAAAGUAUAAAACAAAAGAAUAACAGAAGACAAUCCUAAAAUUACAGAAUGCUUCACCAUUAAAAUGACUUCUUCCAAAUUUAAAUUUCUAAAUUAACUUAAUAAAAAUCUUUUUUACUUGCAAAUUUCAUUCAUGCUGGUCGAACUGUACACUUUUACUAAUAUUCACUGCUACCUAGUAUGUGGGUGUAUAGGAAAAGUCAAUAGGAUAUGAGGAUAUGAUAUGGCACAAUAUAUAUGAUAUACUGUGCUACUUGAACUUAGGCACAAUUAUUGAAAACAUGCAGGUAUCUGGGUGUUUGACUAUGCUAUUUUCUAAAACUUUUUGUAGAUUUUAUCAGUUAACUGCACAGCGUCAUACUUAUAUCUUCAUUGUUAUCUUAUCUGACAUGAACUGCAGAGCGUCAUACUAAUAUCUUGGUUGUUAUCUUAUCUGACAUGGACUGCAGAACUUCUUACUUAUGUCUUGGUAGUUAUUCUAUUUGAUUUGGUUAUCAUAGGUUAAAGUGAGGGGUUAAAGUAAUUAUGCAAUAUGCAUAUUUGCAGAUAUGAUAGCUCCUGAAAGAGUAGAUAUAUUAUGAUGAGGAUGCAUCAAUAUGAAAGCGUACAUGAUGUAUUAAAUGUUAUACAGUUGCAAUUUACAAUUAUAAAAUUCGAUCAGCAAUUGUAUGUUUUGUCAACACAUGCAUUAUAAAAGCCAUUUUAAGUAUCAAGGAUGGGUGAUUGAUUUUGUUUAUUGGUCAAAGUAUUCAUAUAUAGCUGCAAUUUAGAAUAAUUAUAUAAGAUUGAUAUGGCUUGAGAAUAGAAUCAGUUAAGACGUUGCAUCUCAUUAUUGAUAUGCUCUACUUUAAUUUGAAUAUUAUUUGUUUUCUUGUCAUAACUAUGUGGUGUUCCUUAGAACUCUGUCUAGGUAUGAGUAUAGCCUCAGUUAGAACACACAUAGCUGGUCCCAUGCCUGGUUAAAGAAGGGGGGUGUUAUUUAGAUGACAAAAAGUGUAAAGCUUUAUCACAUCUUAUGAUAUGGAUCCAAAAAGGUAUAAUGUUGAGGUGUACAUCUGGGUGGAAUGGAGAAAAUGGAUCCAUAUAGCUGAACCGACUAGUUUAAGAUUAAGGUUUGGUUGAAUUAAUUUGUCAUAAGUGGUGUUCCUUCAGUGUUAGGCUAUGUCAGAGUCAGAUGGAUGAACUUUAUGGUGUACACAGUUUAUCCAUUUCACAUUUCUGGAAUUAAAAGUUGAAAGUAAAUUCAUAUGGGAGGUGCUUAAAGUCAGGUGGCAACUUGGUUCGCCAUAUUUCUUCUUGUUUAUUGUUACCGAAAUAGGGAAGAGACAUCCAGUGCCAUGAAGCAUCUUGCUCACAUGGUUAAAGUUCUGUUCUAUAUGGAUUAUAGCUUAUCAUUUGCACCAGACAUUUAUGAAUAUGUAUCUAUGUGAUACAAAUUGCACACUAUCAGCUUGUCACAAUUAAUAUAUCAUCAUGGAUGCUAAGUUAUGCAGCAAUAAUCCUUCCCUUUUUAUUGUUACCCGAUAUUACAUGUUCUAAUGAUUUUCUAUUGUCCCUUUUUCUUAUGUAAUAAUGAAUCCUUUUGGGGUUGAGAGGGAUGAAUUAAAAUGAAAAGAAUUUGGUAAAUAUUUUAAUUGUUUGGAUUGUGAUGCUAUUUAAUAUCAAAUUCUCUCCUUCUCCUAUGUCUUCUCAACUUAAGCAGAAGGUUUCUUAAUCUUAAAAAUUCCAAUACUGAAUUUAGCUUAAACUGGUGGAUGCCUCAUAUGUCCAAUU
RNAcentral lists this unclassified non-coding RNA (2263 nucleotides) under Hevea brasiliensis (rubber tree). The record is from RNAcentral. Lineage: Eukaryota; Viridiplantae; Streptophyta; Magnoliopsida; Malpighiales; Euphorbiaceae.